RNAcentral lists this ribosomal RNA (496 nucleotides) under uncultured bacterium. Its description in RNAcentral is "partial 16S ribosomal RNA". It matches the Rfam family "Bacterial small subunit ribosomal RNA", at positions 29 to 523 of the family's 1533-position model. The record is from RNAcentral.
UUGAACGCCGGCGGCAGGCCUAACACAUGCAAGUCGAGCGGCAGCGCGGGGCAACCUGGCGGCGAGCGGCGGACGGGUGAGUAACGCGUAGGAAUCUACCCAGUAGCGGGGGAUAGCCCGGGGAAACUCGGAUUAAUACCGCAUACGCCCUAAGGGGGAAAGCAGGGGAUCUUCGGACCUUGCACUAUUGGCAGAGCCUGCGUUGGAUUAGCUAGUUGGUAGGGUAAGGCCUACCAAGGCAACGAUCCAUAACUGGUCUGAGAGGAUGAUCAGUCACACCGGAACUGAGACACGGUCCGGACUCCUACGGGAGGCAGCAGUGGGGAAUAUUGGACAAUGGGGGCAACCCUGAUCCAGCCAUGCCGCGUGUGUGAAGAAGGCCUUCGGGUUGUAAAGCACUUUAAGUGGGGAGAAAGGUUCGGCAGUUAAUACCUGCCGGAAGUGAUGUUACCCACAGAAUAAGCACCGGCUAACUCUGUGCCAGCAGCCGCGGUAA